AUGUCACAAAAACUUGGAAGUGCUGAUACUUCUACAAUAUGUUGUUUUAUCUCUAGCUGUAUGAGAAUGAAGGUUUUGCUAUUUUAUCUGGUUGCUCAACAUACCACUUGGUUAACAUUAUGGAUGGUUUGGAUCGGUACUCCACGAACAUCCUUUUCCAGGUUGUUACCAGCAGUACUGAUAUUUGUGGCCGAACAGUGUAUCACAGUAUUGUUUUGUCCUUAUUGUCAGCGAAGUUUUUCCCUUUUCUGGAGUUUUCUUUUAAUUCUUUUACUCCCUCCGGUCCAUAUUGGUUGUCGCAGCUUUAGUACAACUUUGUACUAA
This 324-nucleotide ribosomal RNA is filed under the name Triticum aestivum (bread wheat). RNAcentral describes it as "partial small subunit ribosomal RNA". Lineage: Eukaryota; Viridiplantae; Streptophyta; Magnoliopsida; Poales; Poaceae. The record is from RNAcentral.